Molecule: ribosomal RNA, 253 nt
Filed under: uncultured bacterium
Lineage: Bacteria
Description: partial 16S ribosomal RNA
Rfam family: Bacterial small subunit ribosomal RNA
Source: RNAcentral
UACGUAGGUGGCCAGCGUUAUCCGGAAUUACUGGGCGUAAAGCGCGUGUAGGUGGUUCCGUAAGUCGGACGUGAAAUCUCCUGGCUUAACUGGGAGGGGCCGUUCGAUACUGCGGAUCUUGAGGUCGGGAGAGGGACGUGGAAUUCCCGGUGUAGUGGUGGAAUGCGUAGAUAUCGGGAGGAACACCAGUGGCGAAGGCGGCGUCCUGGCCCGCACCUGACACUCAGACGCGAAAGCGUGGGGAGCGAACGGG